RNAcentral lists this ribosomal RNA (1470 nucleotides) under Escherichia coli 1-182-04_S3_C2. Its description in RNAcentral is "bacterial LSU rRNA". It matches the Rfam family "Bacterial large subunit ribosomal RNA", at positions 1480 to 2925 of the family's 2925-position model. Lineage: Bacteria; Pseudomonadati; Pseudomonadota; Gammaproteobacteria; Enterobacterales; Enterobacteriaceae. The record is from RNAcentral.
GGCUAUGUUGGCCGGGCGACGGUUGUCCCGGUUUAAGCGUGUAGGCUGGUUUUCCAGGCAAAUCCGGAAAAUCAAGGCUGAGGCGUGAUGACGAGGCACUACGGUGCUGAAGCAACAAAUGCCCUGCUUCCAGGAAAAGCCUCUAAGCAUCAGGUAACAUCAAAUCGUACCCCAAACCGACACAGGUGGUCAGGUAGAGAAUACCAAGGCGCUUGAGAGAACUCGGGUGAAGGAACUAGGCAAAAUGGUGCCGUAACUUCGGGAGAAGGCACGCUGAUAUGUAGGUGAAGUCCCUCGCGGAUGGAGCUGAAAUCAGUCGAAGAUACCAGCUGGCUGCAACUGUUUAUUAAAAACACAGCACUGUGCAAACACGAAAGUGGACGUAUACGGUGUGACGCCUGCCCGGUGCCGGAAGGUUAAUUGAUGGGGUUAGCGCAAGCGAAGCUCUUGAUCGAAGCCCCGGUAAACGGCGGCCGUAACUAUAACGGUCCUAAGGUAGCGAAAUUCCUUGUCGGGUAAGUUCCGACCUGCACGAAUGGCGUAAUGAUGGCCAGGCUGUCUCCACCCGAGACUCAGUGAAAUUGAACUCGCUGUGAAGAUGCAGUGUACCCGCGGCAAGACGGAAAGACCCCGUGAACCUUUACUAUAGCUUGACACUGAACAUUGAGCCUUGAUGUGUAGGAUAGGUGGGAGGCUUUGAAGUGUGGACGCCAGUCUGCAUGGAGCCGACCUUGAAAUACCACCCUUUAAUGUUUGAUGUUCUAACGUAGACCCGUGAUCCGGGUUGCGGACAGUGUCUGGUGGGUAGUUUGACUGGGGCGGUCUCCUCCUAAAGAGUAACGGAGGAGCACGAAGGUUGGCUAAUCCUGGUCGGACAUCAGGAGGUUAGUGCAAUGGCAUAAGCCAGCUUGACUGCGAGCGUGACGGCGCGAGCAGGUGCGAAAGCAGGUCAUAGUGAUCCGGUGGUUCUGAAUGGAAGGGCCAUCGCUCAACGGAUAAAAGGUACUCCGGGGAUAACAGGCUGAUACCGCCCAAGAGUUCAUAUCGACGGCGGUGUUUGGCACCUCGAUGUCGGCUCAUCACAUCCUGGGGCUGAAGUAGGUCCCAAGGGUAUGGCUGUUCGCCAUUUAAAGUGGUACGCGAGCUGGGUUUAGAACGUCGUGAGACAGUUCGGUCCCUAUCUGCCGUGGGCGCUGGAGAACUGAGGGGGGCUGCUCCUAGUACGAGAGGACCGGAGUGGACGCAUCACUGGUGUUCGGGUUGUCAUGCCAAUGGCACUGCCCGGUAGCUAAAUGCGGAAGAGAUAAGUGCUGAAAGCAUCUAAGCACGAAACUUGCCCCGAGAUGAGUUCUCCCUGACUCCUUGAGAGUCCUGAAGGAACGUUGAAGACGACGACGUUGAUAGGCCGGGUGUGUAAGCGCAGCGAUGCGUUGAGCUAACCGGUACUAAUGAACCGUGAGGCUUAACCUU